ACAUGCAAGUCGAGCGAACAGACGAGGAGCUUGCUCCUCUGACGUUAGCGGCGGACGGGUGAGUAACACGUGGAUAACCUACCUAUAAGACUGGGAUAACUUCGGGAAACCGGAGCUAAUACCGGAUAAUAUAUUGAACCGCAUGGUUCAAUAGUGAAAGACGGUUUUGCUGUCACUUAUAGAUGGAUCCGCGCCGCAUUAGCUAGUUGGUAAGGUAACGGCUUACCAAGGCAACGAUGCGUAGCCGACCUGAGAGGGUGAUCGGCCACACUGGAACUGAGACACGGUCCAGACUCCUACGGGAGGCAGCAGUAGGGAAUCUUCCGCAAUGGGCGAAAGCCUGACGGAGCAACGCCGCGUGAGUGAUGAAGGUCUUCGGAUCGUAAAACUCUGUUAUUAGGGAAGAACAAAUGUGUAAGUAACUAUGCACGUCUUGACGGUACCUAAUCAGAAAGCCACGGCUAACUACGUGCCAGCAGCCGCGGUAAUACGUAGGUGGCAAGCGUUAUCCGGAAUUAUUGGGCGUAAAGCGCGCGUAGGCGGUUUUUUAAGUCUGAUGUGAAAGCCCACGGCUCAACCGUGGAGGGUCAUUGGAAACUGGAAAACUUGAGUGCAGAAGAGGAAAGUGGAAUUCCAUGUGUAGCGGUGAAAUGCGCAGAGAUAUGGAGGAACACCAGUGGCGAAGGCGACUUUCUGGUCUGUAACUGACGCUGAUGUGCGAAAGCGUGGGGAUCAAACAGGAUUAGAUACCCUGGUAGUCCACGCCGUAAACGAUGAGUGCUAAGUGUUA
This 790-nucleotide ribosomal RNA is filed under the name uncultured Staphylococcus sp. RNAcentral's name for it is "bacterial SSU rRNA". It matches the Rfam family "Bacterial small subunit ribosomal RNA", at positions 53 to 825 of the family's 1533-position model. Lineage: Bacteria; Bacillati; Bacillota; Bacilli; Caryophanales; Staphylococcaceae. The record is from RNAcentral.